UGGGGAAUCUUCCGCAAUGGACGAAAGUCUGACGGAGCAACGCCGCGUGAAUGAUGAAGGCCUUCGGGUUGUAAAGUUCUGUCUUCAGGGAAGAAACAAAUGACGGUACCUGAGGAGGAAGCCCCGGCUAACUACGUGCCAGCAGCCGCGGUAAUACGUAGGGGGCAAGCGUUGUCCGGAAUUACUGGGCGUAAAGAGCGUGUAGGCGGAUUUUUAAGUCAGAUGUGAAACCUCCGGGCUCAACUUGGAGCAUGCAUCUGAUACUGGAAGUCUUGAGGGUAUGAGAGGAAAACGGUAUUCCUAGUGUAGCGGUGAAAUGCGUAGAUAUUAGGAGGAACACCAGUGGCGAAGGCGGUUUUCUGGCAUACAACUGACGCUGAGACGCGAAAGCGUGGGGAGCAAACA
RNAcentral lists this ribosomal RNA (405 nucleotides) under uncultured Eubacteriales bacterium. Its description in RNAcentral is "uncultured Clostridiales bacterium partial 16S ribosomal RNA". It matches the Rfam family "Bacterial small subunit ribosomal RNA", at positions 355 to 774 of the family's 1533-position model. Lineage: Bacteria; Bacillati; Bacillota; Clostridia; Eubacteriales. The record is from RNAcentral.